This 453-nucleotide ribosomal RNA is filed under the name uncultured Sphingobacterium sp. Its description in RNAcentral is "partial 16S ribosomal RNA". It matches the Rfam family "Bacterial small subunit ribosomal RNA", at positions 341 to 792 of the family's 1533-position model. The record is from RNAcentral. Lineage: Bacteria; Pseudomonadati; Bacteroidota; Sphingobacteriia; Sphingobacteriales; Sphingobacteriaceae.
ACGGAAGGCAGCAGUGAGGAAUAUUGGUCAAUGGGCGGAAGCCUGAACUAGCCAAGUCGCGUGAAGGAUGAAGGUAUUAUGUAUUGUAAACUUCUUUAGUCAGGGGGCAAUAAGGCGUACGCGUACGCCGAUGAGAGUACCUGGAGAAUAAGGAUCGGCUAACUCCGUGCCAGCAGCCGCGGUAAUACGGAGGAUCCGAGCGUUAUCCGGAUUUAUUGGGUUUAAAGGGUGCGCAGGCGGCUUUUUAAGUCAGUGGUUAAAUCGUGACGCUCAACGUCAUCACGCCAUUGAUACUGGAGAGCUUGAUUGCGGUCGAGGUUUGCGGAAUUCGUCGUGUAGCGGUGAAAUGCAUAGAUAUGACGAAGAACACCGAUUGCGUAGGCAGCAGACCAGGCCGUAAAUGACGCUCAUGCACGAAAGUGCGGGGAUCGAACAGGAUUAGAUACCCUGGUA